RNAcentral lists this unclassified non-coding RNA (295 nucleotides) under Hevea brasiliensis (rubber tree). The record is from RNAcentral. Lineage: Eukaryota; Viridiplantae; Streptophyta; Magnoliopsida; Malpighiales; Euphorbiaceae.
AAAAAAAGUAAAAAAACGCUAACCGAUUAUGGGACACAGCUCAGUCUCAUUGGAGCUCAACCCCAUGUUAAGGUUUCCCGUCUCUUAUCAGAUAUGACUUCAGCUUGCCAGUCUGAGACAAACUUGCAAUUGCAAUAAGAAUGAGCCCUCUAAUCAUAGCUUUAACAUGACUAUUGGCUACAUAAUUUACAGUCAUAGUCAUGGGCCUUUAUGUUAUUCAAACCAUCGGCUUUUAUGUGUCAAGACUCGAGACAUUAUACCCACUCCAUGAUCAUGCAAGCUUCAGCACAGCUAU